CCCGCACAAGCGGUGGAGCAUGUGGUUUAAUUCGAAGCAACGCGAAGAACCUUACCAGGUCUUGACAUCCCUUGCAAAGCUAUGGAGACAUAGUGGAGGUUAUCAAGGAGACAGGUGGUGCAUGGUUGUCGUCAGCUCGUGUCGUGAGAUGUUGGGUUAAGUCCCGCAACGAGCGCAACCCUUAUUGCUAGUUACCAUCAUUAAGUUGGGGACUCUAGCGAGACUGCCAGUGAUAAACUGGAGGAAGGUGGGGAUGACGUCAAAUCAUCAUGCCCCUUAUGACCUGGGCUACAAACGUGAUACAAUGGCUGAAACAAAGGGCAGCGAAGCAGUGAUGUGGAGCGAAACCCAAAAAAGCAGUCUCAGUUCGGAUUGAAGUCUGCAACUCGACUUCAUGAAGUUGGAAUCGCUAGUAAUCGUAGAUCAGAACGCUACGGUGAAUACGUUCUCGGGGUUU
RNAcentral lists this ribosomal RNA (457 nucleotides) under uncultured Acholeplasma sp. RNAcentral describes it as "bacterial SSU rRNA". It matches the Rfam family "Bacterial small subunit ribosomal RNA", at positions 920 to 1382 of the family's 1533-position model. The record is from RNAcentral. Lineage: Bacteria; Bacillati; Mycoplasmatota; Mollicutes; Acholeplasmatales; Acholeplasmataceae.